CGUAACGAUCUGGGCACUGUCUCAACGAGAGACUCGGUGAAAUUAUAAUACCCGUGAAGAUGCGGGUUACCCGCGACAGGACGGAAAGACCCCAUGGAGCUUUACUGUAGCUUGAUAUUGGGUGUUUGUACAACUUGUACAGGAUAGGUAGGAGCCGUAGAAGUCGGAACGCUAGUUUCGAUGGAGGCAUUGGUGGGAUACUACCCUCGUUGUAUGAACACUCUAACCCUCGCCGGCAAUCACGGCGGGAGACAGUGUCAGGUGGGCAGUUUGACUGGGGCGGUCGCCUCCUAAAAGGUAACGGAGGCGCCCAAAGGUUCCUUCAGAAUGGUUGGAAAUCAUUCGCAGAGUGUAAAGGCAUAAAGGAGCUUGACUGCGAGACCUACAAGUCGAGCAGGGACGAAAGUCGGGCUUAGUGAUCCGGUGGUUCCGUAUGGAAGGGCCAUCGCUCAACGGAUAAAAGCUACCCUGGGGAUAACAGGCUUAUCUCCCCCAAGAGUUCACAUCGACGGGGAGGUUUGGCACCUCGAUGUCGGCUCAUCGCAUCCUGGG
Molecule: ribosomal RNA, 552 nt
Filed under: Ligilactobacillus salivarius
Lineage: Bacteria; Bacillati; Bacillota; Bacilli; Lactobacillales; Lactobacillaceae
Description: bacterial LSU rRNA
Rfam family: Bacterial large subunit ribosomal RNA
Source: RNAcentral